This 451-nucleotide long non-coding RNA is filed under the name Salvia miltiorrhiza (redroot sage). RNAcentral describes it as "long non-coding RNA (SMIL_LNC014088)". Lineage: Eukaryota; Viridiplantae; Streptophyta; Magnoliopsida; Lamiales; Lamiaceae. The record is from RNAcentral.
AACUGUGUAUUAUAAACAGUUAUGGCUCAAAAUCUCACAGGUUUAUUCAACGUCUAAAAGUCAAGGUCAAAAUCACUCUAGAAUUAUGCAAAUUAGUUCCAAUUAUACUUAAAUCAUCAAAGAAAAUCAAAUUCAAUAUUUUUUUCACAGAAAUCAUCAUUGGCAUCUCACCAAAAAAUCUAAUGGAGCAAUAAUCAUCUAAAAAACAAUCACAAACACACACCACCAACCAAGCAAGAUGAAACAAUAAAGCCAACAAAAAUAAUAAAAGUGAUACACAUAUCUACUCUCACCCCCCUCCCCCAAACUUAUUACAGAACAUAAGUUCGAAAAUAAGUUUGGAGGGAUGAUGAUAUGUGUGUCACUACUCACAGAAACACAUGCUCCAUGGUGGUGGUAUGAACAAGGCGCGAGUUCCCGCAUCUUCCAAGCUCAACACUGCACUAAACCC